RNAcentral lists this ribosomal RNA (385 nucleotides) under uncultured bacterium. RNAcentral's name for it is "bacterial SSU rRNA". It matches the Rfam family "Bacterial small subunit ribosomal RNA", at positions 335 to 713 of the family's 1533-position model. The record is from RNAcentral.
ACUCCUACGGGAGGCAGCAGUGGGGAAUAUUGCACAAUGGGGGAAACCCUGAUGCAGCCAUGCCGCGUGUGUGAAGAAGGCCUUCGGUUGUAAAGCACUUUCAGUAGGGAGGAAGGUAGUGUAGUUAACACCUGCAUUAUUUGUACGUUACCUACAGAAGAAGCACCGGCUAACUCCGUGCCAGCAGCCGCGGUAAUACGGAGGGUGCGAGCGUUAAUCGGAAUUACUGGGCGUAAAGCGCAUGCAGGCGGCCUGUUAAGUCAGAUGUGAAAGCCCGGGGUCUUAACCUCGGAAUUGCAUUUGAAACUGGCAGGCUAGAGUCUUGUAGAGGGGUUAGAAUUUCAGGUGUAGCGUGAAAUGCGUAGAGAUCUGAAGGAAUACCAGU